RNAcentral lists this unclassified non-coding RNA (215 nucleotides) under soil metagenome. RNAcentral's name for it is "partial internal transcribed spacer 1". The record is from RNAcentral.
AUAAAAUGAUUUUUUUUGGGGUUUUCCCUGAAAAAUAAUUCACCUUUUGUGCACUGUUAUUAGAUAUACUUUGGUUAGAGCUUUGAUUUCAUUUAUUGGAAUCAACUUCUUGCUGACUCUAUCCUUUCUGAGGACAGUUGGCUAUGAAGCGGCCUACCAAGGUUUUUUAUCAAACACUUGUAUUUUGUCUGACCUGAAAUCAAAUAAUUAAAUCA